Molecule: ribosomal RNA, 253 nt
Filed under: uncultured bacterium
Lineage: Bacteria
Description: partial 16S ribosomal RNA
Rfam family: Bacterial small subunit ribosomal RNA
Source: RNAcentral
UACAGAGGUCCCAAGCGUUGUUCGGAUUCAUUGGGCGUAAAGCGCGUGUAGGCGGUCCGGUAAGUCCGCUGUGAAAGUCGGGGGCUCAACCCUCGGAUGCCGGUGGAUACUGUCGGGCUUGAGUACGGAAGAGGCGAGUGGAAUUCCUGGUGUAGCGGUGAAAUGCGCAGAUAUCAGGAGGAACACCCGUGGCGAAGGCGGCUAUCUGGGCUGGAACUGACGCUGAGGCGCGAAGGCUAGGGGAGCAAACAGG